Molecule: ribosomal RNA, 465 nt
Filed under: uncultured Klebsiella sp.
Lineage: Bacteria; Pseudomonadati; Pseudomonadota; Gammaproteobacteria; Enterobacterales; Enterobacteriaceae
Description: bacterial SSU rRNA
Rfam family: Bacterial small subunit ribosomal RNA
Source: RNAcentral
CCUACGGGAGGCUGCAGUGGGGAAUAUUGCACAGUGGGCGCAAGCCUGAUGCAGCCAUGCCGCGUGUGUGAAGAAGGCCUUCGGGUUGUAAAGCACUUUCAGCGGGGAGGAAGGCGUUAAGGUUAAUAACCUUGGCGAUUGACGUUACCCGCAGAAGAAGCACCGGCUAACUCCGUGCCAGCAGCCGCGGUAAUACGGAGGGUGCAAGCGUUAAUCGGAAUUACUGGGCGUAAAGCGCACGCAGGCGGUCUGUCAAGUCGGAUGUGAAAUCCCCGGGCUCAACCUGGGAACUGCAUUCGAAACUGGCAGGCUAGAGUCUUGUAGAGGGGGGUAGAAUUCCAGGUGUAGCGGUGAAAUGCGUAGAGAUCUGGAGGAAUACCGGUGGCGAAGGCGGCCCCCUGGACAAAGACUGACGCUCAGGUGCGAAAGCGUGGGGAGCAAACAGGAUUAGAUACCCGAGUAGUC